Long non-coding RNA from Melanotaenia boesemani (Boeseman's rainbowfish), 626 nucleotides. RefSeq lists it as uncharacterized. The transcript has 3 exons. The record is from RefSeq and is a predicted model, not a curated record. Lineage: Eukaryota; Metazoa; Chordata; Actinopteri; Atheriniformes; Melanotaeniidae.
ACCAAGUUGAGCAGCCCUGAUGUAGAAGAUGGUAUCAGUAUUGCAGGUUUACAACCUGCACAGGUGGUAACACACACUCACACACACAAAAAAAUGCCCAGUGUAGCUUAGAGAAUAUAUAGAUGCCUACAUUCAGAAACACACAUUCAUUGGGAUGAAUCUUGUUUUAAAUUGAUUAAUGCUUUUGAUAACUUGCUGUUUGUGUCUAUUUGUUUAGAUUCUCCCAAAGAGGCUCAAAACGUGGCUUCAACUAACACAAAGGAAGACAGGCCUCAGAGGAAAAGGACCAGAGAAACAAAAAAAUGCCCAGUGUAGUUUAGAGAAUAUAUAGAUAUUCUCGUUUUGCAGCCCACUAGACACUCUAAUGUCUCUGGAAGGGAGCUCCCUCUUGUGUGAUCCUUCCCGAGGUUUCUUCCAGGCCCUUCUGUUAAAAGGACAGUUUGGGAGUUUUUCCUUGCCCGCUUGAGGGAAGUGUCUUAAUCAUGUGGACUGCGGUCAUUAUGGCUAGAUGUUUUAAAACCUGGGCAUUUUCAUUAGAAAUUUAAAAACAGGGCCACACCUCGUCAACAUCAGGUCCUAAUUAAAUUCUAAAAUAGAAAUAGAAAAAGAAGCUCAAAAAGUUUACA